This 503-nucleotide ribosomal RNA is filed under the name uncultured bacterium. RNAcentral describes it as "partial 16S ribosomal RNA". It matches the Rfam family "Bacterial small subunit ribosomal RNA", at positions 29 to 523 of the family's 1533-position model. The record is from RNAcentral.
AACGAACGCUGGCGGCACGUUUUAAGCAUGCAAGUCGAAUGGCAGCAGGGGCAACUCUGUGAGAAUGGCGAACGGGUGAGUAACACGUAGGUGAUCUGCCUUGAGGAUGAGGAUAGCCUGUGGAAACACAGGGUAAUACCGAAUGAGCUGACGAGACUUUGGUUUUGUUAGUAAAGGUGCUACGGCACCGCCUUGAGAGGAGCCUGCGGCUGAUUAGCUAGUUGGUGGGGUAAGAGCUUACCAAGGCGACGAUCAGUAGCCGGCCUGAGAGGGUGUACGGCCACACUGGAACUGAGACACGGUCCAGACUCCUACGGGAGGCAGCAGCUAAGAAUCUUCCGCAAUGGGCGAAAGCCUGACGGAGCGAUGCCGCGUGAUCGAUGAAGGUCGAGAGAUUGUAAAGACCUUUUCUACAUGAGGAAUAAGUCUGGGAGGGAAUGCCCGGAUGAUGACGUUAGUGUAGGAAUAAGCCCCGGCUAAUUACGUGCCAGCCGCCGCGGUAA